CUUUUCGAGGUAGGAGUCGACUCCUGUGAGGUAUGGUGCUGGGUGCAGAUGCAGUGUGGCUCUGGAUAGCACCUUAUGGACAGUUGUGUCCCCAAGGAAGGAUGAGAAUAGCUACUGAAGUCCUAAAGAGCAAGCCUAACUCAAGCCAUUGGCACACAGGCAUUAGACAGAAAGCUGGAAGUUGAAAUGGUGGAGUCCAACUUGCCUGGACCAGCUUAAUGGUUCUGGCAGACCUGUUAUCCUAAACUAGGGUUUUUAAUGACCACAACAAGCAAGCAUGCAGCUUACUGCUUGAAAGGGUCUUGCCUCACCCAAGCUAGAGUGCAGUGGCCUUUGAAGCUUACUACAGCCUCAAACUUCUGGGCUCAAGUGAUCCUCAGCCUCCCAGUGGUCUUUGUAGACUGCCUGAUGGAGUCUCAUGGCACAAGAAGAUUAAAACAGUGUCUCCAAUUUUAAUAAAUUUUUGCAAUCCA
Molecule: long non-coding RNA, 473 nt
Filed under: Homo sapiens (human)
Lineage: Eukaryota; Metazoa; Chordata; Mammalia; Primates; Hominidae
Description: growth arrest specific 5, transcript variant 32 (GAS5)
Source: RNAcentral